Molecule: long non-coding RNA, 5236 nt
Filed under: Lynx pardinus (Iberian lynx)
Lineage: Eukaryota; Metazoa; Chordata; Mammalia; Carnivora; Felidae
Rfam family: tRNA (bases 4438-4522)
Source: RNAcentral
CCCAGCUCGUGGCCUGAGGCGCUUGAGAAGGAGCUGGGGGAGGAGAAAUGGGGUAAAGCCCGACGCCAACGGCAAACGAUCUUGCCGCCGUCGUCAGCCCUCGGGAAAUCAUUUUCAUCUCGUGGCGGGAAGAGAUCCCAGAAGCUGUGGGGCUGCACCUUUGGUAACUGGAAUCCCGGAUGCCUGCUCCAGCGUCACCGCCCUUGCCAGCUCCGGGAAGCCCUUCUUUCUGCCAGAGUGAGCAGUUGAGGCGAUUUCCUCCUUCCAGGUUUCCCUGCUAGACCUGCAGUGGUUCCAUUUUGUUUGAGGCCCUUCCUUGUACUGAGGUUUACAUUCAGGUCUCUGUCAGAGCUGAGUCCCUGUUAGCUCUCAUUGGUCUGCCGCCUCCUUCCCUGGAGUACAGGUUCCCUCUUCUCUCCCACUAAGAGGGUGCUCCUGGUCAAGAGCUGGUCGUCCUCUUCCAGUAGAAUGCCAUCCUUGGAAGCUAGAAGCUCCAGCUCACCAAAGUAAUUGAGAUAAUGACCUUCACAGAUCUGUGGGUUCCUUGAAACCAUGAGUGAAGAACUCCUCUUAAAGACCAUUCUUACAGAGCAAGAUUGGCCUUGUUAAUGCUCUCCCCAAAAAGAGAUUCCACACCUUUUCACGAUGAUCUAACAAAUCCCGCCCAAUGAGAACGUUCUUCCUAAUUUCUCAUCUAGAGCAGCUUUACCUACUAGGUCCUGUAGCCACCCUUUGUUCAUUUUCCUGGAUGACCUGCAACACUCCUCAACUGCCUACAUUAUGAGUGUUAGGGGUGGGAAUCUGGGGUCUGUCCCCCUCCUCUGGAUUUUCUGCUUUUUUUCUCAUUGCCCCUCACACACUGGUGGACACGGGACAAUGAUGUUAUGAUGAGAAUGCAGCAAAAGAUUGUGCACUUACUGGGGAGAAAGGGUUUUGUUGUGAGCAGAUUUCUGCCUCCCCCAAUACCUUAUACAUACAAGAAUCCUAACACAGGAGACUAUGACCUUAUAGUGACGUGACAUAACCAUAGAUUUAUCAUUACAUCCAUCUACACCAUUACAAAAACCUGUAUUUAUCAAGCGCUGACAAUGCCCGAAUGCUGUUUUUAAGUACUUCCCACACGUUGCCCUAUAUACUGAAAACAAACCAAGAAAGUAGGUACUAUUUUUAUCCCCAUUUUACAGGUGAACAGACAGGCUCAGACAGGUAAUGUAGCAGGUAGCAGAGGGAGGAUCAGAGUCUAGGCAGACCAAUUCCAUUGCUUUAGCACCUAAACCCUGGGCUUUACUACACUUGCAACUCUGACUUCAGCUGGACCUUCCACCCUGCCCACAGAUUUAGCUUGCCAGAAAUAAAAACUCAUUUUCAAGUGGUGGGCAGCCCCCUUUAGUUAAGAUGCUGGCACAACUUGACAUAAUUGCUAAUGCUCACAGCUACUCUGAGAAUAGUUUCCAGUUUGCAGAGAAGUUCACUAACUCCCUUGAGCUCACAGUGAAGAGUGGGAGGCAGGGCUGGAUAGGGCUUGAGUAUGUGGACUUUAGACUCAGGCUUCUGGGUUUAACUCUCACCUGCCACUUACUAUCUGUGUGGCCUUUGGCAAGUUAUUUAGCCUGUCUGUGCCUUGGUCUCCUUGUGUAUGAAGUGGGGCCUCAGAGGUUAUUAUGAAGAUUAAAUGAGUUAAUGCAGAUAAAACAUUUGAUACCAUGAGUGCUCAAAAGUAACAGAGCUAAAAUUUUAUUCCAAGUCUCUCUGCCAUCAAAAACUACACUUUUCCUACUACUUUAUACUGCUUCCUACAUACUGAGAAGAAAAACUACACAUGAGAGGAAAAAAAGACUAAGAUAGUCCACCCAAGUGGUGAAAGCAAUGGCAUUUGAAUGGCGGGAAUAUGGGGUAACAUUUUCUUCUUUCUAGUUUUUAAGUUAUCUUCCAAGUUCCCUUUAGUGAGUUUCCACAAUGAGGACCAGAAAUAUAUCCUGACAGUCUCCACAUUCGUCAUAUUUAGCGCCAAAUUGCUCUUCUCUCCCCUUUCUCUCCUGGUCUCAUUGUCCCUGCCACUUUGGAGUUAUCUUUGCCCUCUGCCUUUCCUUGGGCUUUCCCUGCAAACAUCUAGCUGGCUCCUGGGUACUGACAGUCUCUCUGGUAUUGGGUCACACCUAUCCCUUCUGUCUACUGCCAUUGCUGUCCUUGCUGUGAGCUCUGUGCCAGCUUCCAGAUGAACUCCAGGCCACCUUGCACUCUGCGUGAGGUUGCCUCCUCCAGCCUUGCCUUCAUCUGCCCUUUACCUGUUUAGACCCUUAGUGACCGCCCCCCCCUCCCCAUAGCCUCUCUGGCAGUGUGCACAGAGCCAGCUGUCCCCUGGAUGGAUUCAUAAAGUACACUUUGUAGAGAAGCAAAGAGUGUUAAACCUGUUGAGGGGCUUAGCUAAAGGUAUUCCCCUUACAUAUAGGAAACUGAGCUCAGAGACUUGUCCUUGAUUUGUUCAGAGACACAGAGCUAAUGUGUAGCAGAGGGCCACAUGCAGACUUAAGGUCUCCUGACUGCCAACCUUGUGCCCUUUCCAUGAUUCUGCCAUGCCUUCCUGCAAAGCAUUUCCAGAUGAUAUGGUUUUCUAAUUGUUUAUUGCAGGCCCAAGAGGAGCUGUCUGGGUAAGUUAGCUCUUUUGUUAGACCAUGUGGCUCACCCUCCAUCUGUGAGCUUGGAGAAGAGUAGGCCUGGGUUUAUGCUACUGACUUCAUUCUUAUGUGCCAUAUCACCGGUACCAACCAUUACUCUUAGGAUUGGGUGCUUUGGUGAGAAUAUUCAGUCCUUAACACCACUGCUAGAAAAGGAACGCUGACUACCUUGUCUCAGAUGGUGAUCUGGUGGUUUCUAUCAGUAGGUGUGGUGGGUCGUCUACAAUGAUGGCCAGCAAAGGUGGUAGACCCUACUUCACCUUCCCGUAUAUGCACACUGCUCCUCCCACCAAGAGGUGGCAUCUGUGUUCCCUUCCCUUUGAAUCUGUAACUUGCUUUGACCAACAGGACAUGCAGAAGUGGUACCCUGUGACUUCUGGGCUGUAGCCACAUGGCUUGCAUUUUUCCCUCUUAGAACCAGUUGUGACACAAAGAAGCUUGACUCCCCUGCAGGAGCGAGAGGUCACCUGAAGAGAGCAAGCCCCUGGAGGAUGUGAGACAAUGAAGGAAGAGAGAGAGGAGUACAGCUAUCUUGAAGCCACCCCAGGUGAGUAGCUGUGUGAAGUCAUCUUCUGUCCUUAACCUCAGUCCAGCUGCCCCUCAGAGACUGGCUGCACCUGCCAAGCCCUGCCCAAGAUGCAGAACUGGGAGUAAAUAAAUGGCUGUAUUUGUUUUACGUCUUUGUAUUUUGGGGUGGUUUGUUAUGUGGCAAUAAUAACUGAAAUGGAAGGAUAAUGUAUUUACAGAUUAAAUUUUAGUUUUAAUUAUUUAGUGAUCAUAAACAGUACAUUUUAUUGUAUUGUAUUGUAUUGUAUUGUAUUGUAUUGUAUUGUAUUGUAUUUAUUUUUGGUGACAAAACCCAGGAACGAAUAAACAAUAAAUUUUAGAAAUAAAUUUCCAUUUUAAUUAUCUAAGUCAAAGCCCAUGAAUUCUCUUGAUAAUGUAGAACCAAUAAUUUUUGGUAAGGAAUUUUGGGGAAAGUAAUGCAAUACUUUUCAGGGUGAGGCCACUGUGAUUGGUUCAAUCUUUAUUUAAGGGAGACAGAUCUUCUUGGAUAUUACUACAGCCUUAAAGAGGCAUUUUAAUUUUUUUUAAUGUUUAUUCAUUUCUGAGAGAUAGAGACAGAGCGCAAGCUGGUGGGGUGGGUGUGCAGAGAGAGAGGUAGACACAGAAUCCAAAGCAGGCUCCAGACUCUGAGCUGUCAGCACAGAGCCUGAUGCGGGGCUCAAACUCACGAACCGUGAGAUCAUGACCUGAGCCGGAGUUAGACGCUUAACUGACUGAGCCACCCAGGCACCUCUUAAAGGGGCAUUUAAAAAGAAUUAUACUAAUGCAAAAAUGCCCACACGGUAUUCCAGUGUGGUAGGUGACUUCUAAAUUGCCACCAGUUGUCUAGCCCUUCUGAUUUUCAUGCCCUGUGUCAUCUUUUCCCCUUGAGGGUGGCUGGGCCUAGUAACUGACUUCUGAUGAAUAGAAAACAGCAAAAGUCAUGGCAUGUCACUUCCUAAAUUAGGGUACAAAAAGACUGUGACUUCUACCUUGCUUGCCUACCACCUUCCUCUCAUGCCCUGGCUCUAGUGGAAGGUAGCUGCCAUGUGGCGAGGAGUCCUCUAGAGAGGUCCUUGUGGCAAGGGAUUAAUGUCUCUGAGCAACAGCCCUUGCCAGCACCUGACUUGCAGCCUUCUGAGAAUCCCUUACCCAGAGGAGCCAGCCAAGCCGCCUGCUGAAACAGUGAUAUAAUAAAUACUUAAUGUUUUGGGGUGCCUGGGUGGCUCAGUCGGUUGAGCGUCCGACUUCAGCUCAGGUCAUGAUCUCACGGUCCGUGAGUUCGAGCCCCAUGUCGGGCUCUGUGCUGACAGCUCAGAGCCUGGAGCCUGUUUCAGAUUCUGUGGCUCCCUCUCCCUCUGACCCUCCCCCGUUCAUGCUCUGUCUCUCUCUGUCUCAAAAAUAAAUUAAAAAAAAUUAAAAAAAUUAAAAAAUAAAAUAAAAUAAAUAAAUACUUAAUGUUUUAAGCUGUAAAAUUUUGGGAUAAUUUGUUAUGCAGCUUUAUAUGACUAACGAAUUCGUUAACUGAAAAAAAUAGGAUAUCAAACUAUAAAGUUUCUUUGGUACAACUUUUUAGAGAGCUAAUAUGACCAUAAAUGUCAAACUCCCCUAAAAUUUUACACACCCUUGUAGCCCCACCUCUAGAAAUUUCUCUUAAGGGAAAAGAAAAAUCAUGGAAUGCUAACAAAGGAAUAGUUACAGGAAUGUUCAGAACAGUACUAUUUAUAAUGGCAAAAAACUGGUAGCAAUCCAUAAAUCUAAUGAUAGGGGAUUGAGUAACUGUAUCAUGGAAUUGUUGCUAAUGGAAGAGGUUGGAAUCCAUUAGUGAGUCUUGAAAACAAACUGACUUGCUGUUAGCAUUUGAAAAAAUAAAAUGAAAUAGAGUUAAAAAUAUCAAAAUAAAGGUAAGUUUCUCUUCAUAAGAAAAUUUUCAUUUCAGCAAUCCCUAUCAAAAUAACACAAGAAUUCUUCACAGAGCUAGAACAAAGAAUCCUAAAAUUUGCAUGGAACUGGAA